RNAcentral lists this ribosomal RNA (382 nucleotides) under uncultured eukaryote. RNAcentral describes it as "partial 18S ribosomal RNA". It matches the Rfam family "Eukaryotic small subunit ribosomal RNA", at positions 592 to 975 of the family's 1831-position model. The record is from RNAcentral.
CAAUAGCGUAUAUUAAAGUUGUUGCAGUUAAAAAGCUCGUAGUUGGAUUUCUGGCAGGAGCGACCGGUCACACACUCUGUGUGUGAACUUGCGUUGUCUCUGGCCAUCCUUGGGAAGAUCCUGUUUGGCAUUAAGUUGUCGGGCAGGGGAUACCCAUCGUUUACUGUGAAAAAAUUAGAGUGUUUAAAGCAGGCUUAUGCCGUUGAAUAUAUUAGCAUGGAAUAAUAAGAUAGGACUUCGGAACUAUUUUGUUGGUUUGCGUUACGAAGUAAUGAUUAAUAGGGACAGUUGGGGGUAUUCGUAUUUCGUUGUCAGAGGUGAAAUUCUUGGAUUUCCGAAAGACGAACUACUGCGAAAGCAUUUACCAAGGAUGUUUNCAUUA